Thunnus maccoyii (southern bluefin tuna) is the source of this 1470-nucleotide long non-coding RNA. RefSeq lists it as uncharacterized. The transcript is spliced from 2 exons. Lineage: Eukaryota; Metazoa; Chordata; Actinopteri; Scombriformes; Scombridae. The record is from RefSeq and is a predicted model, not a curated record.
GAAACUCAAUUCUAUACAACCUGCUCGGCGAUAAAUGGUUGAGAGAUCAAGCUGAGUAGCUGAUGAAGAAAGAUGAACAUCUAGCGAGCCAAAGAUGUACAGACAUUUCCUUCUGGAGUUUGCAGACCAAACCAGGGCUGAAAUCCAAAUAAACAUUGGACUUGUAUUUGAGAGAUGGCAAAAAAAAAGGACUUGGAGGGGAUGCCCAUGUUGCUCUGAGUCUGCUGGAUGUCCACUCAGCCUCUGGUGCUUGUUGUCCUCCCACCUGACAUGUCGCUUGCCUUCAUUUUGCUUCCAUUAAGCUGAAAAUUACAGGUUAUAUCAACAAAUAAAUGAGCUCUGGAAAAUACAGGCAUUUGUGUGUUAUUUCCAUUUGAAAGAACUCAAUUUGAAUUGAUAGCAGUUAUUUUAAGGAGGGAGAAAAAAAAAAAAAAAAAAGCUUGAGCACUCAACAAGGUGAACCUGCUGAAACAAGUCAAGUGUUGUUCCAAAACGAAACACUGUUACAUGCUGUGCCAGACAUUAAUUUUCAUUUGCCAAGGUGAAAGAAAAAAAAAAAGAUAUUUAUAUGAGAAAAACUCGAGCCGUGGAGAAGGUGGGUAGAUUUAGACGUGGGCUUCUAUUCAAAUAUGAAGGUCUCCUUGACAUUUUCUGCACUGCGUUGGCUGCUCAUCCUUGUCGCAUUUCUCCAAGCUGCAGAUGGAAUUGCACGACCUGUUGACAUUUACAAACUCAUCUGGCUGAGAGCGAUGGCAUUCUAUUAGGAGAAACACCUCCGAAAGUCCCGCCACAGAGUCCCGUCUCCACUCUGCGGAGUUCAACACAUGAACAUGUUAUUGCUUUGCACAAACACAAAUCGACCUUUGCGGGGAGAGCAAGGAGAGGAGCACGCCGUCUCACUUUCUCCCCUCCUCUAGAAGUCUCUAACUACAGAAUGUAAACUUGGAUUGAAUAGUGGUGAGGUUUAAUCAGAUCAAACUGGACUGCUGCAGCUGCCACCAGAGGGAGCCCGCUGUUCAAAUGUGAUCGGGUUAAAGUCUGCUCACCCACCCCCCUCCGCCAUACCGAUAAGUCUCUGGACAGCAGCCAACAGUAGUGUGGCACAUAAUUCACCAGCAGCUGUGUUAAAGGCAGGGCGAAGGUGAAAUGAGGUGAAGGCAAAGCCAAUACAGUUGCAGCAGACAUAACAAUGACAUAACUGUAGACUGACUGACUGUGGAAGGCGGUCUGGGUGAUAAUGCAGAUAUGUAUGUGUGAUAUGUGUUUAAUACUGACAACUGAAAGCAAAUGACAGCAACAAAAAAAAAAAAACACGACCCAAGGUCAAGAACAUGGAAAACCACACAAUAAAUGAGAUGAAAACAAGUUAUUUUCUCUGUAUGGAGGAGAGUACACUCCUUCACUUUAUUAACAACCGAUCGAAAAUGACAAAUCAGAGACAAGCUUUCAAAAAAAGCCGAUGGGAUGCAA